CACUAUCGUUAACUGAAUACAUAGGUUAACGAGGCGAACCGGGGGAACUGAAACAUCUAAGUACCCCGAGGAAAAGAAAUCAACCGAGAUUCCCCCAGUAGCGGCGAGCGAACGGGGAGCAGCCCAGAGUCUGAAUCAGCUUGUGUGUUAGUGGAACGGUCUGGAAAGUCCGACGGUACAGGGUGAUAGUCCCGUACACCAAAAUGCACAGGUUGUGAACUCGAAGAGUAGGGCGGGACACGUGGUAUCCUGUCUGAAUAUGGGGGGACCAUCCUCCAAGGCUAAAUACUCCUGACUGACCGAUAGUGAACCAGUACCGUGAGGGAAAGGCGAAAAGAACCCCGGCGAGGGGAGUGAAAAAGAACCUGAAACCGUGUACGUACAAGCAGUGGGAGCACCUUCGGGUGUGACUGCGUACCUUUUGUAUAAUGGGUCAGCGACUUAUAUUCUGUAGCAAGGUUAACCGUAUAGGGGAGCCGCAGGGAAACCGAGUCUUAACUGGGCGUUAAGUUGCAGGGUAUAGACCCGAAACCCGGUGAUCUAGCCAUGGGCAGGUUGAAGGUUGGGUAACACUAACUGGAGGACCGAACCGACUAAUGUUGAAAAAUUAGCGGAUGACUUGUGGCUGGGGGUGAAAGGCCAAUCAAACCGGGAGAUAGCUGGUUCUCCCCGAAAGCUAUUUAGGUAGCGCCUCGUGAACUCAUCUUCGGGGGUAGAGCACUGUUUCGGCUAGGGGGUCAUCCCGACUUACCAACCCGAUGCAAACUACGAAUACCGAAGAAUGUUAUCACGGGAGACACACGGCGGGUGCUAACGUCCGUCGUGAAGAGGGAAACAACCCAGACCGCCAGCUAAGGUCCCAAAGUCAUGGUUAAGUGGGAAACGAUGUGGGAAGGCACAGACAGCCAGGAUGUUGGCUUAGAAGCAGCCAUCAUUUAAAGAAAGCGUAAUAGCUCACUGGUCGAGUCGGCCUGCGCGGAAGAUGUAACGGGGCUAAACCAUGCACCGAAGCUGCGGCAGCGACACUAUGUGUUGUUGGGUAGGGGAGCGUUCUGUAAGCCUGCGAAGGUGUGCUGUGAGGCAUGCUGGAGGUAUCAGAAGUGCGAAUGCUGACAUAAGUAACGAUAAAGCGGGUGAAAAGCCCGCUCGCCGGAAGACCAAGGGUUCCUGUCCAACGUUAAUCGGGGCAGGGUGAGUCGACCCCUAAGGCGAGGCCGAAAGGCGUAGUCGAUGGGAAACAGGUUAAUAUUCCUGUACUUGGUGUUACUGCGAAGGGGGGACGGAGAAGGCUAUGUUAGCCGGGCGACGGUUGUCCCGGUUUAAGCAUGUAGGCUGAUUGUCCAGGCAAAUCCGGAUAAUCAAGGCUGAGGUGUGAUGACGAGGCACUACGGUGCUGAAGUAACAAAUGCCCUGCUUCCAGGAAAAGCCUCUAAGCAUCAGGUAACAUCAAAUCGUACCCCAAACCGACACAGGUGGUCAGGUAGAGAAUACCAAGGCGCUUGAGAGAACUCGGGUGAAGGAACUAGGCAAAAUGGUGCCGUAACUUCGGGAGAAGGCACGCUGGUGUGUAGGUGAAG
This 1577-nucleotide ribosomal RNA is filed under the name Klebsiella pneumoniae. Its description in RNAcentral is "partial 23S ribosomal RNA". It matches the Rfam family "Bacterial large subunit ribosomal RNA", at positions 146 to 1767 of the family's 2925-position model. Lineage: Bacteria; Pseudomonadati; Pseudomonadota; Gammaproteobacteria; Enterobacterales; Enterobacteriaceae. The record is from RNAcentral.